This 427-nucleotide ribosomal RNA is filed under the name uncultured bacterium. Its description in RNAcentral is "bacterial SSU rRNA". It matches the Rfam family "Bacterial small subunit ribosomal RNA", at positions 355 to 774 of the family's 1533-position model. The record is from RNAcentral.
UGGGGAAUUUUGGACAAUGGGCGCAAGCCUGAUCCAGCCAUUCCGCGUGCAGGACGAAGGCCUUCGGGUUGUAAACUGCUUCUGUACGGAACGAAAAGGCUCUGGCUAAUACCUGGGGCUCAUGACGGUACCGUAAGAAUAAGCACCGGCUAACUACGUGCCAGCAGCCGCGGUAAUACGUAGGGUGCAAGCGUUAAUCGGAAUUACUGGGCGUAAAGCGUGCGCAGGCGGUUAUGUAAGACAGAGGUGAAAUCCCCGGGCUCAACCUGGGAACUGCCUUUGUGACUGCAUAGCUGGAGUACGGCAGAGGGCGAUGGAAUUCCACGUGUAGCAGUGAAAUGCGUAGAUAUGCGGAGGAACACCGAUGGCGAAGGCAAUCCCCUGGGCCUGUACUGACGCUCAUGCACGAAAGCGUGGGGAGCAAACA